AUGCUGUUAUUGUUCUCUAUAAGCCAUAUAAGUGAGGAUCCCCAAAUUUCCCCAGCAGAGGGGAAGUAUAAGUCUGAUUUAAAGAUGUUUUCUUUCUUUCUUUUAUCUACCUUGCUGGCUUUGAGCACAACCCAGGAAGAAGUUCAAAACCAAGAAAACGGUGUUUGGCAAGACCAGGAUGCUCAAUGGCAAGGUGAGAUCCUGGUUAUCUCUUUUUCUUCUAGCAUUUGUUUCCCUAAGUGGAAUACGAGAUUUACUGCAUCUUUUUGGUGAAUGAUAUGAAAUAGAGGCCUGAUGUUCAUGACUGGAGGGCUUAUCAUUGAGAAUUAUGUUAAGCUGUAAGUAAUAGAAUUCUUGACCAACUGUAGCUUAAACAAAUAGCAGUUUCAUUUUUGUAUAUAAUGGGAAGUCUGGAGGUAGACAGGCUCCUGUAUUUCAGCUCCUCUGUCUUCCUUUGGGGGUGCUCCACCCAUUGCAGGACACCCAGCAGCCUUGCCUCACUUACUGAAUACAGUUAGGGAGCUGCAGUGCUGUGACAGCCAGAUCGGCCAGCAAAGAUUUCCAAAAUGCUUCCAGUUGAGAUCCACUGGGCACAUUACUCCCCUGAACAAAAUCAGGGUUCUAUUAGCAAAGAAGAGGAGAAAGAGAAGUUGGGCUAGCACUGCCUGCCAGAGAAGAUAAUGAAGUGGAAAAUAAAGGGCAGAGUUAUAUUUAUUUACUUUUACUCUCAGGUCAGGGACUGACCUGAGUACAUUGUGCAAUGUGCAAAAGUAAUGUAACAUAAUGUCAUUCUGCCACCUGAAACUGUGACCAUGGAACACGUAGCAAAGAGGGAGUGAGGGAAAGGAAGGUAGGAGACAUCACUAUCAUCUGAUAAACAAGCAAGAGCUGGAGAAUAAUUACCCACAGGGUAAUUGACAGGAUUGAACAAACUCAUAGUGAAAGAAAAUGUCACAGAAAAAUUAGCUAUGCAGGACAUUUUAUCAAUUUUUUUUCCAGAAUUAAACAGACGGAUGAAAGAAAACAUUGUAAUAUGUAUAGCUCCUCCAUGAAAAGGAUUGUAAGCUGCUCCAAUUCUGUUACUCUCCUAUUAAAGGAAACUAAGGGUUAUAGAAAAAAGAAAAAUUCAGUUUUAAGCUGAAAUUAAUACUUGGUUGAUUCUAUAAUUCUACUAUUUUUCCUUUAUCUUUUUUAGGAAGUCAAUUCAGACAACCAUAUUAGUUUUAUUUAUUGUUUAAUUUACAGAUUAUAUGUAUCUCUCUGUGUGUGUAUGUGUGUGUGUAUCUUUUCUUCUUUCCUCUUUUCUUUUCUUUUCUUUUUUUUCCUUUCUUUGAGAGACAGAGUCUUACUUUGUCACCCAGGCUGGAGUGUAGUGGUGCCAUGACAGCUCACUGCAGCCUUGAUCUCCUGGACUUGAGUGAUCCUCCCAUGUCAGCCUCCCAAGUAACUGGGACUAUAGGCUCACACCAUCACAGCUGGCUAAUUUUGUAUUUUUUGUAGAGACAGGGUUCGCUAUGUUGCCUAGGCUCAUCUUGAGCUCCUGGGCUCAAGUAAUCCUCCUGCCUCUGGCCUCUGACACUAUAUUUUUACUCUUUUCUCUUAUGUACAGUGUUUCCAAGUCUAUGGUAUAAGGAACAUCAGGAGUUAAUAUAUUCAUAUGUUAAAUUUUCUUAACUUUCUAUAGUGUUAUAAUGGCAUAGAAUAAUUAUGGACGUUUAUAAUGCUUUCUGUCAUUUACUAAUUACUGAUGAUAUUUAUUUGCAUUUUAAUAAGAAGCCUGUAACCUAAUUGACCUCAUGUAAAGGAAGAAAGCUAUUCCUGUUAGUCCUAGUGAAAUUUGAUCAGUGUUUCUUGGAUGACAGUAAAUGUGAACAGAUAACAUACACAGUGUGCAAAAACUUCUGAAAAUAACUGAUUUUUGUAGAUUACAUAACUAGGGUUAAAGAAUUAGGGACCCUUAGCAUUGCAAGGUACUUUUAGGAAUCUCCUUGGAUUUAAUUAUUCUCUUUAGCAGUAAUCUUUGUCUAAUAUACUGUAAAUUUUACUAGUUUAUCUUUAUUAUCUAUCUUGUCCACUCCAAAAUAGAACUUUUUUGUUUUUUCUAUUUACUACUGUAUCAGGAGUGCUGACAACUCUGGAAUACACAGUAGGCACCCAAUACAUAUAAGGGAAUAAAUAAAUGAAUAAAAGCUGUCUGUAUCUGCUGAUCAUCCGCAAUUUAGAUGUCCCAUACUACAUUCCAAGUAAGCCUACAUUUGAACACACCUGGUAGUUUAAAAAAAUGUGUACAUGUAUGAAACUAUUUUAACAUAGCACUGCAAUAAAAUUCUAUUAAAAUAGAAAAACAUAAGUUGAGCAUCUUUCCAUAUUGUAUAAGUAAUUCCUUGACCCCAAUUUAAAUUUCA
This is a long non-coding RNA of Macaca mulatta (Rhesus monkey), 2405 nucleotides long. NCBI's taxonomy places the organism in Eukaryota, Metazoa, Chordata, Mammalia, Primates, Cercopithecidae. The record is from Ensembl.